CCCGACCUGGCCAAGUGGGAAGGCGGCGGUCUGCAGAACUGCCACGACCGGGUUCGAUUCCCGGGGUCGGGUCCA
RNAcentral lists this transfer RNA (75 nucleotides) under Chloroflexota bacterium. RNAcentral's name for it is "Chloroflexi bacterium tRNA-Cys". It matches the Rfam family "tRNA". From Rfam's summary of the family: Transfer RNA (tRNA) molecules are approximately 80 nucleotides in length. Their secondary structure includes four short double-helical elements and three loops (D, anti-codon, and T loops). Further hydrogen bonds mediate the characteristic L-shaped molecular structure. tRNAs have two regions of fundamental functional importance: the anti-codon, which is responsible for specific mRNA codon recognition, and the 3' end, to which the tRNAs corresponding amino acid is attached (by aminoacyl-tRNA synthetases). tRNAs cope with the degeneracy of the genetic code in two manners: having more than one tRNA (with a specific anti-codon) for a particular amino acid; and 'wobble' base-pairing, i.e. permitting non-standard base-pairing at the 3rd anti-codon position. RNAcentral also lists the same sequence under 1 other name. The record is from RNAcentral. Lineage: Bacteria; Bacillati; Chloroflexota.